RNAcentral lists this ribosomal RNA (253 nucleotides) under uncultured bacterium. RNAcentral describes it as "partial 16S ribosomal RNA". It matches the Rfam family "Bacterial small subunit ribosomal RNA", at positions 524 to 776 of the family's 1533-position model. The record is from RNAcentral.
UACGUAGGUGACAAGCGUUGUCCGGAUUUACUGGGCGUAAAGAGCGCGCAGGCGGUCGUUCAAGUCGAGUGUGAAAGCCCCCGGCUCAACUGGGGAGGGUCAUUCGAUACUGAUCGACUCGAAGGCAGGAGAGGGUAGUGGAAUUCCCGGUGUAGUGGUGAAAUGCGUAGAUAUCGGGAGGAACACCAGUGGCGAAGGCGACUACCUGGCCUGUUCUUGACGCUGAGACGCGAAAGCGUGGGGAGCAAACAGG